AGCGGGAAAAGCUCAAAUUUAAAAUCUGGCAGAUGCUUGUCUGUCCGAGUUGUAACCUAGAGAAGUGUAGCCUGUGCUGGACCGUGUACAAGUCUCCUGGAAUGGAGCAUCAUAGAGGGUGAGAAUCCCGUCUUUGACAUGGACUACCAGUGCACUGUGGUUGCACACUCAACGAGUCGAGUUGUUUGGGAAUGCAGCUCUAAAUGGGUGGUAAAUUCCAUCUAAAGCUAAAUAUUGGCGAGAGACCGAUAGCGAACAAGUACCGUGAGGGAAAGAUGAAAAGAACUUUGGAAAGAGAGUUAAACAGUAUGUGAAAUUGUUGAAAGGGAAACACUUGAAGUCAGCUGCAUUGGCUGGGGAUCAAGCCAGCUUAUUUGCUGGGUGUACUUCCUGGUUGAUGGGCCAACAUCAGUUUUGACCAUCAGAGAAAGGCAAAGGGAAUGUGGCACCUUUAUAGGUGUGUUAUAGCCCUUGGUUGUAUGUGGUGGUUGGGACUGAAGA
This 501-nucleotide ribosomal RNA is filed under the name Amanita virosa (European destroying angel). Its description in RNAcentral is "eukaryotic LSU rRNA". It matches the Rfam family "Eukaryotic large subunit ribosomal RNA", at positions 97 to 594 of the family's 3401-position model. Lineage: Eukaryota; Fungi; Basidiomycota; Agaricomycetes; Agaricales; Amanitaceae. The record is from RNAcentral.